Long non-coding RNA from Mirounga angustirostris (Northern elephant seal), 1418 nucleotides. RefSeq lists it as uncharacterized. NCBI's taxonomy places the organism in Eukaryota, Metazoa, Chordata, Mammalia, Carnivora, Phocidae. The record is from RefSeq and is a predicted model, not a curated record. The transcript has 3 exons.
AGGGGUUCAAGUCCCAGCCUGGCCACUCAAUUCACAGCGUGGGCUCUCAAUGAUCUCAGACAGAAAGAACCUGCCAGGUCUCGCUCAGUAGACCUGCAGAUGCUUCUGGACUCCCAGGUGGGCUCUUCCAGCCCAGAAGCUCCUCUGCUUGGGGAACAUGGGGAGCCCUUGGCAGUCACUAAAGUGCUUCCGAUUGUUGGCCAAGCUGCCAUCUUCCACGACCAGCCAGCCAGCCAGCUGCAUCAGCCUCCUCCUGGGACCCCUGCUCCAGCCCUCGCCGGCCCCACCUCCUCUUUUCCCCUGUGGCAGCCAGAGCAAUGGGGAAUCCUAUUAAAACCCAAGACACAUCAAGCACUCCUCUGCUCAAAGCUCUCCAACAUCUCCCAAUGUUAUGGGAGAAAUAGCUGAGGCCCUGCAUUCCCUGUCCCCUGACACCCCCAGUUUGCUCUCAUCUUCCAUCACUCCUUUCACUCAACCAGUCUCCAGCCACACUGGCCUCCUUGCCUUUCACCCUUCCCCCUAUGCCAGGCACGUUCCUGCCCCAGGGCCUUUGCACUGGCUAUUCCUUUUACCUACAGUGCUCUUUCCCCAGAUUCACACAGAUGCUGCUCCACCUCCUUCAGGUCUUUGCCCAAAUGUCAGCUUCUCUGAGAGGCCCUCCCUGACCAUCCUCAUGAAAUUGCUCUGCUCCAACCACUCAUCACGCCCUCACUGACUGUACAGCCUGAUGUGAUAUUGUACACUGACUUGUUUUCGGUGUUUUGUCCAUCUCCCCAUGAGCUAGGAGCCUUCCUCUCUCUCCACAGGGGCUUUGUUUCCUGCUGGGAGCCCAGCCUGGCACACGGUCCGGGCAUACGAUCACUUCGUGCGGUAUGUUUGCAAAGUCGGCCACAGCAAUUCCAGCUUUCCCAGUACACGUGACUCUUUGCAGCAUGACUUUGGUGUCUAUUGUCUAUGGAGUCUAUUUCUACUCUCCUUGAAUCUGAGCUGGCCAUGGGACAGGCUUUGCUCAAUAAAAUGCAAUGAGAGUGAUGCUCUAGCACUUCUGAGCCUAGGCCUCAAGAGGCCUUGCUGCUUUUGUUCUUUGCCUUUUGGAGGCCAUCAUGUGAGGAAGCCUGAGCUAGCUGCUGAAGAAGCCACGCGAAAGAGAACCAAGGCACUCAAGCCCACGGGCCUGGGCAGCCGGCAGUCACGUAAAUGAGGCCAUACAGGGCCAGCCAGCUCCCCAACGUGCUCACUGACUGCAGAUGUGGGAGUAAGACCAUGCACAGCAGAAGAGAACUGCCCUAGCUGAGACAUGUCCAUACUGCCAAUCUACACCAGCAGAAGCAAAUAAAUAAUUGUUGGUUUAAGCCACUCUGUGUUUGGGGUGCUUUGUUAAGCAGCAGUAGAAAGCUGAUACAUUUAGGUUUGGUGCA